This 318-nucleotide unclassified non-coding RNA is filed under the name Hevea brasiliensis (rubber tree). Lineage: Eukaryota; Viridiplantae; Streptophyta; Magnoliopsida; Malpighiales; Euphorbiaceae. The record is from RNAcentral.
GCCUUCUAGUAGGGUAUCCAGCACAACUAAUCCUAAUUGCUUCCAUAACUCCCCCACAUCGUAAUUGUUGAAGAACAUUUUUAUUCUCAAAAAUUGCUGGCUUAAGAAGAUUGUUGGGCUUUACACAGCGAAUGUAAUGUGGCUCAGUUGCACUGAGAGUUUCAAGCAAUGCUUGCAGUUGUUGCUUAAACCGAGAACCAAUCGAAGAGAACUUUGAUUGUUUAGAGGAUUCUUCAGCUAAAGGUGGAAACAAUCCCGAAACAAAGGAACAUUUAGAAGCAUUUAAAAGUGCCUGAUGUUCAGCAACAACAUAGUCCU